GGAGGAAGGUGGGGAUGACGUCAAAUCAUCAUGCCCCUUAUGAUCUGGGCUACACACGUGCUACAAUGGCCGGUACAACGGGCAGCGAAGGAGCGAUCCGGAGCGAAUCCUAAAAAGCCGGUCCCAGUUCGGAUUGCAGGCUGAAACUCGCCUACAUGAAGUUGGAGUUGCUAGUAAUCGCGAAUCAGAAUGUCGCGGUGAAUGCGUUCCCGGGUCUU
This 218-nucleotide ribosomal RNA is filed under the name uncultured Fusibacter sp. Its description in RNAcentral is "partial 16S ribosomal RNA". It matches the Rfam family "Bacterial small subunit ribosomal RNA", at positions 1165 to 1382 of the family's 1533-position model. The record is from RNAcentral. Lineage: Bacteria; Bacillati; Bacillota; Clostridia; Eubacteriales; Fusibacteraceae.